Molecule: long non-coding RNA, 935 nt
Organism: Apodemus sylvaticus (European woodmouse)
Lineage: Eukaryota; Metazoa; Chordata; Mammalia; Rodentia; Muridae
Exons: 4
Source: RefSeq, a predicted model, not a curated record
CAGCAGAGGGCCGGAAUUUCCCCUUUCCAACUUCCCUUUACUCAAGCCUCGCAGGAAGCUCCCUUGCUGUUUGAGAAUGUGACUGGUUACCACCAAGGAUGAACAAACUCAAGCUCCGGGGUAUCUAAGAAGAGGAGAAGUGCGGGUCAGUCACUAGCUCUGCCUGGACAGUGGGUAAAGCUGUCCUGGCUGUUUCUGCAGUGACCUCAAGUUCUGUUUCUAUUCUCAAGAGUCACUCUUUCCUAUCCAUGGUGGAAGUUCUGAGAGAUCAUCUACAAGGCUCCCAAAGGUUCUUGGGAGUAGAAUAACUAACCCCUGUCUUGAUUAGCCAUCAAUUUGUGUCACUAAAGGCACGGCAAUCUGUUUAACUAAAGGAUUGAUGGAGAAAUAUACGUGGGUCUGAGAUCUAUGGCUUCCCUAGGAGAGGAAAUCUAUGGAAAUCAUACAGAAAGAAGAGCUGCGUUCUGGUGAGAGCCCCAUGACCAGUGAAGUCCCCUCAGCGAGUGGCUGUGGUUGGAGCAUGGAAGGCCGGCAGCAAGUUCGGGAAAUGAAGUGGGUUUGGGGAGCCAGGAGGGCUGCCUGUCCAGUGGGGGAAUCCAGCGAAAGUACGAAUGCAGCAACGGAAGCCGUUUGCUAGGAAGUCACCAGAGAAGAUUUCAAAAUGUACUGGCAGGUCUCCACCAAAGGUUGGGAAGCCCUGGCCUGUGGAAGGAACAACAAGGACUUCCCCUGCUGUCUUUCUGUUCUGCUUCGAAGGGUUAAGCUUUUCCUAACAUUCAGAUGCCAGUUCAUCAAGUGUCUGUCACCAAGCCCCUCCCCUAGCUGUUUAUUAACUGGAAUUAUUGCUCGAUUCUUAAAAUUAGGAUGCAUACAUAUCAAAGGUUUGCUUUUUUCAUAUGUGUGUGUGUGUGUGUGCGUGUGUGAGAGAGAGAGAA